Oxyura jamaicensis (ruddy duck) is the source of this 1847-nucleotide long non-coding RNA. RefSeq lists it as uncharacterized. The record is from RefSeq and is a predicted model, not a curated record. NCBI's taxonomy places the organism in Eukaryota, Metazoa, Chordata, Aves, Anseriformes, Anatidae. The transcript is spliced from 5 exons.
UGUUCUCCCCCAUCUUUGCUCCAUUUCCCCGAAAUAAAGACAUUAUAAAUGAGCAUUAGGCUCAAGCGAUGGCAGGCACCCUCAGCCCUGAGACAAGGGAUCAUAGCCUGUUUGUGGGCAGCUGGCACAAAGCAAAAAGGUUGUGUUGUAAAUCCCAGGUCCUUGGUGCCCCUUGCGUAGUGUCUGGCUCCUGCCAUGCCUCACUCCUCUGUGGAGGGAAUGUGGGGGGGGGGCAAUGCCAUGGGACCACUUACUGCAGCAGCCCCCCUGCAAGAGGCAGGCCAAGGCCUAGAGCAGAGCCAUGCUGCUGCCCAAGUGGGGCAGGUCCACUCUGCUGGACUGCUGGCAUGACAUUCCUCUAUUACAGGCUCCCCUUAUCUCAGCAGCCCCCUGUAACCCAGGACAGGUGUUCUGGAGGGCAGUGAGGGUUUCCCACAUGUUGGGGACGAGCCAUGGUGCAUGAAGCUGCAUGACUGGGUCACCUCUGCUGGCGCGCAGCCCCCUGGCAGGCCAGCCUCUCCCACCCCAGCAGAGGGACUUCAGUUGGUGAUGCGUGGGUAAGGGGCAGUCACACCUGGAUCUCAUCUGAAAGGAAUUGGAAAGGCACGUUCAUGUGCAGUGCAAAUUCUGCCUGUGUAAAGGGAUCCCUGUAGCCUUCCUAAGUAAAUUAGGCAGCUGUGGGUGGGGUUGGGGCGACAGAAGCUGAUUGCUGCAGCCCGGAGGAGUGUUGGAAGAGCUAACGCAGCCAUACCUGCACAUCAUGUUUUUGCAUCUCUGCCUAAGGAGCUUAAAUUGCUGUGAGCCUGCUGAACGCGGCUGGGCUGGAGGGUGGUGGAAGCGGGUGCAUGUGCAUAUGUUCUGAGGAAUAGCAAUGUUACUGCUCACAGAAAAGAUGGAAGACAGAGGACUUCUUAUACAGGCUACAAAAUCUUCUAUACUGAAUAUUUCCUCAGUUAUCUUCAUCUAACUAAAACACGUCCAGGAAACAGAAAGCCACGUUUAUUUCACUAAUUACACCAUGGGACCUGAACUGUGGCCUCUCCUAUUUUUGCCUGAAGUCAGCAACUGAAGUGCUCUGGACUUCACUAAGUUCCAGGACCCUGAGUGAAGACACUAAUGCCUCAAAUUCACAACUGAUUUGUACUUUCUCCAGCUGAGACUAAUACAAAUCUUCAGACAAACCUGCAGGAAUCAGCUCAGAUGAUACUGCAGACCUGUGUCCUUACUCUGCCAAGGAAGUAGCUCAUUUCCACCUCAGGAUGAUGGCAGGCAAGAUCAGGGGAGUCUGCCUUUGCAAUUUGGCACAGGAAGGUCUUGAGUCUCUUGACAGACACAAAAGUGUCUCUGGACUGACUCUUGAGCCUAGAACUAUGGAGAAAGACAAGACUCUCAGCUAGAGAUGGAAGAUGAGUACCGCCAUCUGAUGACAGACUUUCUGACCAUUAGUUCCCCAGAAGGACUGUUUUCCCCUUUAACAGCAUUCAGCAGCAGCACCAGAGGAGUUUUCAAAACUCCUGCACAUGAAAGACCAGCAGCAGCUGCAAAUACUUAAAUGUCAGACAAAACUUGGGGUGGUAUCCUUGUUAUUGGAGCAUGAGUUAUAUAAUUCAGUCAUCUUCCUGGCAGGUACUAGUGGUUAGAACCCCUGAAGGUUCCUUGUGCUGCCCUCUCUUGAGCAGAGUAUUUGAAAGCGAUGAUGAACUUUUUGAACUUUCUUCAGAACAUUCCCAUUUAAGAAACAAAAGCAAUCUCCCGAGCACCAGAAAAAGAAGUAUUGCCUACCUCAUCCAGCGCUUUGGCUGCCGUGGCCAUUAGCCAGCGUCCCUGUGCCACUUUUAACAGAGAAC